RNAcentral lists this unclassified non-coding RNA (341 nucleotides) under uncultured Bacillota bacterium. Its description in RNAcentral is "uncultured Firmicutes bacterium partial contains 16S ribosomal RNA, 16S-23S ribosomal RNA intergenic spacer, and 23S ribosomal RNA". The stretch from base 1 to 136 matches the Rfam family "Bacterial small subunit ribosomal RNA", at positions 1398 to 1533 of the family's 1533-position model. Lineage: Bacteria; Bacillati; Bacillota. The record is from RNAcentral.
CACACCACGAGAGUUUACAACACCCGAAGUCAGUGGCCUAACCGCAAGGAGGGAGCUGCCUAAGGUGGGGUAGAUGAUUGGGGUGAAGUCGUAACAAGGUAUCCCUACCGGAAGGUGGGGAUGGAUCACCUCCUUUCUAUGGAGAAAGAGACGUUCUGUUUAGUUUUGGGAGAAUUUCGAUUUUCCUAGAAUUGAUCUUUGAAAACUAGAUAUCUUCUGAAGAAGAAAAGUUAAGUAAUAAAGGGCGCACGGAGGAUGCCUAGGCACUAGGAGUCGAAGAAGGACGCGACAAACGGCGAAACGCCUCGGGGAGCUGUAAGUAAGCAAAGAGCCGGGGAUAU